RNAcentral lists this ribosomal RNA (1082 nucleotides) under Metallonotus sp. KKanda KK0224. Its description in RNAcentral is "eukaryotic LSU rRNA". It matches the Rfam family "Eukaryotic large subunit ribosomal RNA", at positions 79 to 829 of the family's 3401-position model. Lineage: Eukaryota; Metazoa; Arthropoda; Insecta; Coleoptera; Tenebrionidae. The record is from RNAcentral.
CUUAUAGCGGCGAGCGAAUAGGGAAAAGCCCAGCACCGAAUCCUGCGUUCAAUAACUGAACGCUGGGAAAUGUGGUGUUAGGGAGGAUCCGUUAUCUUAGAAUUAUACAGUAUGUCCAAGUCCAUCUUGAACGGGGCCACAGCCCAUAGAGGGUGCCAGGCCCGUAGUGACUACUGUCGAUUUUAAGAGGAUCUCUCCUUAGAGUCGGGUUGCUUGAGAGUGCAGCCCUAAGUGGGUGGUAAACUCCAUCUAAGGCUAAAUAUAACCACGAGACCGAUAGCGAACAAGUACCGUGAGGGAAAGUUGAAAAGAACUUUGAAGAGAGAGUUCAAUAGUACGUGAAACCGUUCAGGGGUAAACCUGAGAAACCCGAAAGGUCGAAAGGAGAGAUUCAGCGUGUCUCGGUUUGAAUUGUAUUGUGAUGGUUAUGUGACGGAUGAUAACGUUCAUGUGUUUGCGCAUAUGUUACGUAUAUAUCUGCUAUUUCCAUUCAAUGAAAACAAUUAUCGAACGCGUGCACUUCUCUUCCAGUAGGACGUCGCGAUCCGUUGGGUGUUGAUUUAAGAGCUGUAGUGGUGACCGUUUAUUUAUUUCUUGCAAAUAAUAAAUGAACCUACAGUUUUCAAUCUAAUCAACUUGCUCGACGGUAUCACAUUAUUUUAAUGGUGUUAAGACGCUAUUAUAGCGUUUGGCAUGUGGCAAGCAUGUUUGUUGUUAAAAAUAGUCAUCGGACUUUGUGCCGAUUCUAUUCUCAAACAGUUGUUGGCUGCAUUGUUCUCAAACAGAUCUUUUCACUAAUCAGCGACGCUAUAGCUUUGGGUACUUUCAGGACCCGUCUUGAAACACGGACCAAGGAGUCUAGCAUGUGCGCAAGUCAUUGGGAUUAAAUUAAACCUAAAGGCGCAAUGAAAGUAAAAGUUUGUUGUUAUUUUUUUUCAAAAAUGGCAAAAACAAACAGACAUAGGGAAGAUGAGUAAUUGUUAAAUUAUUUAAUAAUUUACUUCGCAUUCCCGGGGCGUCUCUAUCUUAUUGCAAGAAGAGGCGCACCAAGAGCGUACACGCUGGGACCCGAAAGAUGGUGA